UGGGGAAUAUUGGACAAUGGGGGGAACCCUGAUCCAGCCAUGCCGCGUGUGUGAAGAAGGCCUUAUGGUUGUAAAGCACUUUAAGCGAGGAGGAGGGUACUGGUAUUAAUACUACCAGGUACUGGACGUUACUCGCAGAAUGAGCACCGGCUAACUCUGUUCCAGCAGCCGCGGUAAUACAGAGGGUGCAAGCGUUAAUCGGAAUUACUGGGCGUAAAGCGCGCGUAGGUGGUUCGUUAAGUUGAAUGUGAAAGCCCCGGGCUCAACCUGGGAACUGCAUCCAAAACUGGCGAGCUAGAGUAGGGCAGAGGGUGGUGGAAUUUCCUGUGUAGCGGUGAAAUGCGUAGAUAUAGGAAGGAACACCAGUGGCGAAGGCGACCACCUGGGCUCAUACUGACACUGAGGUGCGAAAGCGUGGGGAGCAAACAGG
This 430-nucleotide ribosomal RNA is filed under the name Pseudomonadota bacterium. RNAcentral describes it as "Proteobacteria bacterium partial 16S ribosomal RNA". It matches the Rfam family "Bacterial small subunit ribosomal RNA", at positions 355 to 776 of the family's 1533-position model. Lineage: Bacteria; Pseudomonadati; Pseudomonadota. The record is from RNAcentral.